This is a long non-coding RNA of Oncorhynchus tshawytscha (Chinook salmon), 1726 nucleotides long. The record is from Ensembl. Lineage: Eukaryota; Metazoa; Chordata; Actinopteri; Salmoniformes; Salmonidae.
GGGGAAUUGUGUUAUAUAUAUAUUUUUUUACAUUUUAUUAGGAAAUGCAGCUCUUUCUCAGGUUCUACUGUGGUAGAGUGGUUGCACAGCCUUUCCUCUACAGGGAGACAGAUUUUCCUGUGUCCACCCUUCUCAAUGGCAAGGCCAGUACAUUGUCAAGGUCUUUGUCAAGGUUUUUCUAAGGUUUUGAUCAGCAACCAUGGUCAAAUAGUUUGCCACGGUGUACUGUCGAUUUAGGGCCAGAGAGAACUGAAUUUUACUUUGUGCUUCUGUUUCCCAAGAAGUAAUGUAGUUUUGUUUUGACUGUGUAAUUUGGUUUAUUCUGAUUGAUUAGAUGUUCUGGUCCUGAGGCUUCAGUGUGUUAGUAGAACAGGUUUGUGAACUCAGCCCCAGGACCAGUUGGACGAGGGGACUGAGGCUUCAGUGUGUUAGUAGAACAGGUUUGGGAACUCAGCCCCAGGACCAGCUGGAUGAGGGGACUGAGGCUUCAAGGUGUUAGUAGAACAGGUUUGUGAACUCAGCCCCAGGACCAGUUGGAUGAGGGGACUUAGGCUUCAGUGUGUUAGUAGAACAGGUUUGUGAACUCAGCCCCAGGACCAGCUGGAUGAGGGGACUGAGGCUUCAGUGUGUUAGUAGAACAGGUUUGUGAACUCAGCCCCAGGACCAGUUGGACGAGGGGACUGAGGCUUCAGUGUGUUAGUAGAACAGGUUAGUGAACUCAGCCCCAGGACCAGUUGGAUGAGGGGACUGAGGCUUCAGUGUGUUAGUAGAACAGGUUAGUGAACUCAGCCCCAGGACCAGCUGGAUGAGGGGUCACUUUUCUUUGCUCGGCUCUUGGCAUUGCAGUCCUUGUUAAUGUUAUGAAAGGGGAUCACUUUAUUUUAGUUGUUUCCAAAAACCGAAUUUCUUGUUUUUGAGUUUUUAUUAUUAGUGGAUAUUGGCCUAAUUCUGCCCUGCAUACAUUGUUUGUAGUUUUCCUCUGGACAUGUAUGAGGAUCUUACAGAAUUCUGCAUGAAGGGUUUCAAUGGGGUGUUUGUCCCUUGGGUGAAAUUUUGUUUUGCAAGUGGACCCCACACCUCGCUGCCAUAAAGUGCAAUUGGUUCAAUGACACAUAAAAUUAGUUUUAUCCAAUUUUUUUUAUAGGUAUUUCAAUUUUCAUUUGUUUUUUUAAUGGCGUGCUUUCUCUCUCAGUUCAUUUACUGCCUCAUUAAAGGUGUCCAGUUCAGCUUAUUUCCAAACCUAAGUAAUUGUAGUGUGUGCAGGCAGGGGUGUUGCCAGAAUUCUGGGGCCCCAUGGAAGAAAAAAAAUACCAGGCCCCUAAUGUAGAAAUCACAACGUUUCAGAUUAAAAUAACGUACUGAACAAUAUGUGUUAUCAAAUGUACUAACUAUAAGCUUCUGCUGCUCUAUACUACAAUUGUGCAGAUUCUAGUUUCCAACUUCAUCCUUUGCCUAUAUUAACAGUACUGCAAACAUUUUUUUGGUUCCUAAUGUUAACAAAAGCUGUCUGUGUCACGAGAUUUGUUAUUCUGCUUCAUUAUAAACAACCACACAAUUGGUGACUUGUUUUUUAAUAUAUGGCAUUGUAGUCCGUUUUAUGAAGAAAUGACCAAUGAUCCCUGUUUCAGAUGAAAUAAUGUAUUACAAACUCUUAUAAACAAGGCUAGCCCUCUUCUGCCUUACAGCGCUUGUAUAUUCAUAAAUAUAUGCCUAAAUAACAUACCCC